CCUACGGGGGGCAGCAGUGAGGAAUAUUGGUCAAUGGACGAGAGUCUGAACCAGCCAAGUAGCGUGAAGGAUGACUGCCCUAUGGGUUGUAAACUUCUUUUAUAUGGGAAUAAAAUGUUCCACGUGUGGGAUUUUGUAUGUACCAUAUGAAUAAGGAUCGGCUAACUCCGUGCCAGCAGCCGCGGUAAUACGGAGGAUCCGAGCGUUAUCCGGAUUUAUUGGGUUUAAAGGGAGCGUAGGUGGAUUGUUAAGUCAGUUGUGAAAGUUUGCGGCUCAACCGUAAAAUUGCAGUUGAAACUGGCAGUCUUGAGUACAGUAGAGGUGGGCGGAAUUCGUGGUGUAGCGGUGAAAUGCUUAGAUAUCACGAAGAACUCCGAUUGCGAAGGCAGUUCACUGGACUGCAACUGACACUGAGGCUCGAAAGUGUGGGUAUCAAACAGGAUUUAGAUACCCGUGUAGUC
Molecule: ribosomal RNA, 461 nt
Filed under: uncultured bacterium
Lineage: Bacteria
Description: partial 16S ribosomal RNA
Rfam family: Bacterial small subunit ribosomal RNA
Source: RNAcentral